UCUAUGCUAACUUUCCUGCCACAUGAAUUCUUUAAAAAUCCAUUGUUAUCUUGGAUAUGUUAUGUUUCCAUAGCCAGGCUCAACUGUAAGGAUAAAAGACGACUGUGAGACACUUGACAGUUUACAGAGAGUAUUUUCCCUUUCCCCACUCUUUGGAUCUUAGGCAUUUGAAUUUAAACGUGCAUCAUGACUGACCACACAGUGGCAGGCCCUGAGCUCUAGACCUAAUUUCUCGGACUCCAAAAAAUCUAGUCUUUCUUGGAAAAAGCCAGAUGCGUUUUUGAACAAGUCAUGACGAAAAGGCCUCCCAUCCAGCCCUCCAAGGAUAUUACACAGGCCCUUUGGCAUUUAAACAACAGUUUCCACUGAGAAUCUUUGAUUGGUCUGCAUUAUGAAGAACGACCCCCAAAUUAGUCGCAAGGAGCACCCAGAGAUGAAAUGGCUUGGUCUAAUAUGUUCACCUCCCUCACCAUGCCAUUUGUGGAUCCACUUUCACUCCCAUAGGGUCACAGACACCCACAGCAUGUGUGCACGCACAUGUGUGUGCACACACACACAGACACACACACACACACACACACACACACCCUUCUCUUUAGGGCUGAGAACUGAAUCACCUGGCUGUCUUUUCUCAGCAGUGUUAUGAUCUGGGCUCAGUCCCCACUUGUGUUUUUUCCCUUUUUAAAAUUGUGGUAAAAUAUAUAUAACAAAAAAAUGUAUUAUUUCAACCAGUUUUAAGUGUCCAGUCCUGUGACAUUAAAUACAUUCACAGUGUUCACCAUUUGUCUCCAGAACUUGUUCAUCUUCCCAAACUGAAACAUGUCCGUUAAACACAAGCUCCCUGUUGCUCUCCACCCUGCCCCUGUCAACCACGGCUCUACUUUCUGGGUCUUUGAAUUUGAUUACACUAGGUUCUUCAUAUAAGCAGAAUCAUACCAUAUUUGACCUUUUGCCAUUUUCUCGAUGGUAAUAGGUCAUCUGAUUCCAGAGCUGGCCCACGGGACUGGGUGUUGAUGGGGUGACCGGCUCAGGAGGAGUGACAGGAGAGUCCAGAGCCCAGAAACAGCCCUGGUUAGAAUCAGGGGGGCUCUCACCCCGACGACAGCUGGAAAUUCUUUCUGCUCUCCUGCAAGCUGGGUGUUACAAACCGGAGACUUUUCAAGCCCAGUCCCAAACACAGGAAUUCUCCCCUCGUCAGUCUGUCUCCUGGGCCCCAACGAGACAGCUGUACUUCCCACGCAAGCAAAAGCAUUCAACUGUGAGAGCUCUUGCCUGGGUCAGCUUGCUCAGCUCAUCCUUGAAAGAGAACAUAAGCUCCUCCCAAGGAAUGACCAUUUUUCUGCUCCAGGUCGUAUAGAAUGCGGGGUAGAGGACUUUCAAAAUGUCCCUUGCUGCUAUCAGCAGCAAGAGCACAAUCUAUGCCAUCCCGGGUCGGCAUUGCAAUUGCAUUUGCUCAGCCAGUUCUUUGAAAUUUACCAAAAGGAUCUGAGUCACACGCAUGAUCCUUCCACUGGCUUUUGUGAAGGGAAUCCCAUUAAUGCAACUUCUGAUCCAGGAACGAGGACAGAGGAUGGCAUGGCAUGGAAGAGACAGGAGCCGAUGAGGCCGCUUUGGGCCUGACUUCCAGCCUCCAGAACUGUGGGGGAAUACAUUCCUGUUGUAAGCCAAGCUUCACCAAGUUUGUGGUCCUGUUACAGCAGCCCUGGGAAACAGAUACGAAGGCUGAGGUUGGUAAUCCUUUCUGUGGGUGCUCCUCCUUUCUGUGGGUGCUCCUCCUGAGACACUCACCAGAAGGCCGUGGUGGGCUUGGCUCUGGGGAUUCUGUGAGCUGGGAGGGGAACCGACAGCAGUGGGCUCAUUCUACCAAAAAGCCGAGGGGACAGAGGAAAAUGUGACCUGUCCAAAGUGUCACUCUGUGCAGGUAAGACAACAAGAAGAGAGUUGGUUCGUUCAUUCGCCCACUCAUUCACCUCCUACUUGGGGAGCCCUACGCAGUGCCAGGCUCUGGGAACACAAAGGUACGAAGACCAGAGCCAGCCCCGCUCUGCCCUCAGGGAGCUCGCGUCUGAGAAGGUACCUGCUAGUCACUGAGGAGGUUGGGUGGAUGAGCACAAAGAUUUCCUCCAGCUCUGGCAUUCGGUGGCUGAAAGGGAGCAAGGAGGGCAGCCUGGCUGGGGCCUACAGUGCUGCCACCAGGGCAUUUGGGGGGGCCGCUGCUAUCUCUUU
This is a long non-coding RNA of Neofelis nebulosa (Clouded leopard), 2226 nucleotides long. RefSeq lists it as uncharacterized. The transcript is spliced from 3 exons. Lineage: Eukaryota; Metazoa; Chordata; Mammalia; Carnivora; Felidae. The record is from RefSeq and is a predicted model, not a curated record.